AGAACUCUCAAAUCAUGUGAUUUGGCAACUAUGCCACCUCACUUUCGUUUCUUAUUCUGCAUAAUGAGGUUAGAUGUCCACCGUCAAAUGUCGAAUUUCUCAAUUAUGUGUUUUCACGGUUGUCCGAUUCUUUCCAGUGGCGCUUACAUCGAUUCGGAGGAGGCCUCGAAGUAGUCUGUGCCCUUAAGUUGCAGCCAAAAUCAAAUGUUGGAUAUAUUUAACAUUAUUUGUAUCUAUUCAGAGACUGAUGCGGACAUUACAACCAAAAUAUUGUGGAGUAGAAAAGUUGAAUAGACACAUUAAAGAUAUUUUCCAGCGUGGAAUGAAAUACUAGGACAAAUAACAAAGACAUAUUCUGGAAAUAGAUGCAACUACUUUCUUGCAAGAUAUAUCUGGAAAUAUCGUUAAGUAUCUGUUCUGACAUUGAUGGGGAAAUUACAAUCAAAAAAUGAUGGAGUAGAAAAGUUGAAUAGUUGCAUUAAAGAAAUUAAUCAGCGUGGAAUGAAAUAUUAGGCUAAAUAACAAAAACGUACACUAAAAGUAGAUGCAAUUACUUUCUCGCAUGAUGUAUCUAGAAAUAUGUUUAAGCAUUUGAUCAGACACGGAGGGGAAAAUUGCAACAGAGAUAUUAUGGAGUAGAAGUAUUAAAUAGAUAUAGUGGAGCAAUCAUUCAAGCAAGAGCAAUAUUAAAUUAGAUAAGUUUGUCUUGCACGUUACAGACUUUAAAAACAAUGUAAUACCAGCAUAUUUCAAAUAAAUAGUUUAAUAGAAGUA
Long non-coding RNA from Osmia lignaria (orchard mason bee), 774 nucleotides. RefSeq lists it as uncharacterized. The record is from RefSeq and is a predicted model, not a curated record. NCBI's taxonomy places the organism in Eukaryota, Metazoa, Arthropoda, Insecta, Hymenoptera, Megachilidae.